RNAcentral lists this unclassified non-coding RNA (216 nucleotides) under uncultured Gemmatimonadaceae bacterium. Its description in RNAcentral is "contains 16S-23S intergenic spacer region". Lineage: Bacteria; Pseudomonadati; Gemmatimonadota; Gemmatimonadia; Gemmatimonadales; Gemmatimonadaceae. The record is from RNAcentral.
UCCGAUUUGUCACCAGCAUGUCAAGCCCAGGUAAGGUUCUUCGCGUUGCUUCGAAUUAAACCACAUGCUCCACCGCUUGUGCGGGCCCCCGUCAAUUCCUUUGAGUUUCAGCCUUGCGGCCGUACUCCCCAGGCGGGGCACUUACUGCGUUAGCGACGGCACCGGGAGGGUCGCUCCCCCCGACGCCUAGUGCCCAUCGUUUACGGCGUGGACUAC